Non-coding RNA from Rhodocollybia butyracea, 98 nucleotides. Lineage: Eukaryota; Fungi; Basidiomycota; Agaricomycetes; Agaricales; Omphalotaceae. The record is from the annotation of a GenBank genome assembly.
ACUCGAAUAGUCAAGUGGUCAAGACACCUUGCAAUUAUAGAUAUGCCCACACGAUUUGAUCUUUCAAGGAGGCGGGGGUUCGAAUCCUCCUUUGAGUG